Molecule: transfer RNA, 72 nt
Filed under: Phrynosoma platyrhinos (Desert horned lizard)
Lineage: Eukaryota; Metazoa; Chordata; Lepidosauria; Squamata; Phrynosomatidae
Description: tRNA-OTHER
Source: RNAcentral
GCCAGCAUGGUGUAGUGGUUUGAGUGUUGGACUACCAUUCUGGAGACCUGGGUUUGAUCCCCCACUCUGCCA